UGGGAAUUCAAUAUUUUCUCCAAACUUUCUGAAGAUACUGCUAUGACAAACCCACCGUCAAUAUUAUACUGAACGAGCAAAAGCUGGGAGCAUUCCCCUUAAGACCUGGAACAAGACAAGGAUGCUGACAAUCACUGCUCCUAUUCAACAUGGUAUUGGAAGUCCUAGCCAAAGCAAUCAGGAAAGAAAAAGCAAUAAAAGUCUUCCAAACAGGAAAAGAAGAAGUCAAAUUAUUUCUCUUAAAACUGUUGAUAUGAUUCUAUAUCUAAAAAACCCUAUGGACUCCACCAAAGGGCUUCUGGAGCUGAUAAAUGAUUUCAAUAAAGUUUCAGGAUUCAAAAUCAAUGUACAAAAAUCAGUAGCAUUUUAUAUACCAAUAAUGUUCUAGCCGAGAGCCAAAUCAGGAGUGCAAUCUUUUACAAUAGCCAUACCAAAAAAAAGAAAAAAACUUUGGAAUACAUCUAACCAAAAAAGUGAAAUAUCUACAAGGAGAACUACUAAACACUGCUAAAAUAAUUUUCUAUUAAAAAAUAAGUAGAUUGUUAAGAUACUGGAUGUUUAACACCUCUAAUUCCAAGAAACUCAAAGCAAAAAAAAAAAAUCAUUCAGAAAAUAAUCUGCUAAUAUCUCCAUGAGGAAGUAAGAUACAUAACCUAUGCAUAAGCUCAAUAAGUUAAAGGUUAGUUUUAAAAUAUAUCAAAAUCUGUAUUAAUACUGUAGAGAUUGCUUCACUUAGCUACUAACUCAUUUGUUCCUUUGUUUUAAAUGUGUGAUAGAAAAGUUUUGGGAUGUCUCUGGAAUUUUGAUUGUAUUUCCUAUGCCAAAAAGUCAACUUUCAGGGCAUUAAUGAAUAGCUCAUGCGUAAGUCUUAAUUGUUAUAAUAAAAACAUUUUUCUUCCCUUUAGGUUUUAUCCAAGGUCUUGUAUGUUUUAUGGUUAUAAGCAAAAACAGAUUGGCAGAGGUCAGUUUCCCUGCCAACCUUAAAGAUAGAUGCAAAUUGCUUGAGGAGCAUUAUUUUAAGCCAAGCUUGGCUUGUUUAAUCAAGUUCAUAGUAAAGAGAUGGUAACUAGCUGGAAAACAGCCAACACACGAGUCAAAUUAAAUUAUUCAUGUUGUCCCUUCCACACUGCUUUUAUAAUUAGAGUAGCAGCAUGACACUGAGGGAAAUGCAUGAGCUUUGAAUUUAGAAAUGUAGGCGCUUGAAAGUAUGCAAAUAAGCCUUUAUGAGCCUCAAUGUUUUCAACUGUAAAAUGGGGAGAUGUGUACCUUUUUUGUGGCUUGUUUUAAAUGGAUGAAAUGAGAUAAUGUACUUAUAGUGCUUGGCAUUAAAUAUGCUUGAAAAUUAGUAGUGAACAUUAUUACCUUUUAAUCUAGACCAUUCAAGAUAAAGCAAAGCUUGGUGUUUGAUUGUAUAUCUCUGCCUGUCCUUAUAAUCCUGGUGGUUAAGCAUCUUCAUAAAAUACUGUCUCUAAAAUGUAAGCAAUAAAAUUUGGAUUUAUUUUAUGUAGGAUUCUUUAAGGUAGUCAAGCAUGAAAGUGAAAAGUUCUUCGAUGGCCUUUUUCCAUUUAAUUCCUCAGAUGUAGAAAACCAAAAAGAUUCACAACUAUAUUAUGUUAAUGAUCAUAGUUCCAAAAU
This 1635-nucleotide long non-coding RNA is filed under the name Homo sapiens (human). RNAcentral describes it as "HSALNT0081331". The record is from RNAcentral. Lineage: Eukaryota; Metazoa; Chordata; Mammalia; Primates; Hominidae.